Molecule: ribosomal RNA, 468 nt
Filed under: uncultured bacterium
Lineage: Bacteria
Description: partial 16S ribosomal RNA
Rfam family: Bacterial small subunit ribosomal RNA
Source: RNAcentral
GACGAACGCUGGCGGCGUGCUUAACACAUGCAAGUCGAACGGAAAGGCCCUGCUUUUGUGGGGUGCUCGAGUGGCGAACGGGUGAGUAACACGUGAGUAACCUGCCCUUGACUUUGGGAUAACUUCAGGAAACUGGGGCUAAUACCGGAUAGGAGCUCCUGCUGCAUUGUGGGGGUUGGAAAGUUUCGGCGGUUGGGGAUGGACUCGCGGCUUAUCAGCUUGUUGGUGGGGUAGUGGCUUACCAAGGCUUUGACGGGUAGCCGGCCUGAGAGGGUGACCGGCCCCAUUGGGACUGAGAUACGGCCCAGCCUCCUACGGGAGGCAGAAGUGGGGAAUAUUGCACAAUGGGCGGAAGCCUGAUGCAGCAACGCCGCGUGCGGGAUGACGGCCUUCGGGUUGUAAACCGCUUUCGCCUGUGACGAAGCGUGAGUGCCGGUACUGGGUAAAGAAGCACCGGCUAACUACGUG